GAUCAUGGCUCAGGAUGAACGCUAGCUACAGGCUUAACACAUGCAAGUCGAGGGGCAGCGGGAUUGAAGCUUGCUUCAAUUGCCGGCGACCGGCGCACGGGUGAGUAACGCGUAUCCAACCUGCCCACCACUUGGGGAUAACCUUGCGAAAGUAAGACUAAUACCCAAUGAUAUCUCUAGAAGACAUCUGAAAGAGAUUAAAGAUUUAUCGGUGAUGGAUGGGGAUGCGU
This 230-nucleotide ribosomal RNA is filed under the name uncultured bacterium. Its description in RNAcentral is "partial 16S ribosomal RNA". It matches the Rfam family "Bacterial small subunit ribosomal RNA", at positions 15 to 236 of the family's 1533-position model. The record is from RNAcentral.